Myotis myotis is the source of this 471-nucleotide long non-coding RNA. RefSeq lists it as uncharacterized. The transcript has 3 exons. The record is from RefSeq and is a predicted model, not a curated record. NCBI's taxonomy places the organism in Eukaryota, Metazoa, Chordata, Mammalia, Chiroptera, Vespertilionidae.
GUUAUCUUCAUAGCUUGCUGCGUGAGUUGGAACCUGGUACUUUGUCAGUCAUGGGUCAGAAAUUCUGUUGCUUGAGAAGAGCAUGUUGCUUAAAGUACUUCCUAUGGCUACUGGCAUGUGUAUGAAAAAUUAUCAGGGAAGAAUUCAAUUUCUAAAAGCACAUAUUCUUUCAGAAAAUCUUUCAAAAAUUAGUAAAGCUUGAUUAACUUUUGCUGCUUAGGGGAGAAUGGAGACAUGAAUUCUAUUUUAAUUGAAGAGAUGGCCAAGGGUUAGGACAGAAUCAAAAUGCAGACACCAACCUGCAGGAUUAGGUAGAAAUGGAAUUCUAGGUAAAAUAACCAGAUACACCAAACACAGUUCGAGGCAGAAAAGGAAUGGCAUGUCUCAAAGCUGAGAUUGACCCAAGACAACUGAGGAGAGUCAAGGAGCAGAACAUUCCAAAAACAAAUUCAAGAGGACACACUCUCAGGA